GUUGAAGCAAAAGUCAUAAAGUGAAGAUUCUUCAGUCCUUCAUCACAAAAAAGAUUCUUCAGUCCAUGAAAAUCCAUUUGGGAAAUAAAAUUACAAAAGAAGAAGAAAGUGGUCGACAAAGGGCUACUUCAGGUCUGUCAAAGGCUACUCAUUCUCUGUUUUGCUGAGAAGAAAAAAAAAGGCUACUCAUUCUCAAGUGAAAAACAGAGUGGAGAAAAACCAUCUUGAUAUUAUUUCUCAUUUGCAAUCCUCCCUAUUUGUUAUUCUUUAUCACCUUCAAUUGAAACCUCCCCUUGUAAGCUCUCGACGUAUACAAUUCUUCUGAAGAAAAUAUUCAAGUUCCUAAAUCUAUCUUCAAGUUGAAUAUCAGAUGGUGUAAAUCUUGGGCAUCAAUUUCGAGUAGUGGACUCAGGGCUGGAGGUUGGAGUUGAAAUUUUUUAUAUAUUAGUUUAUUAAUUUGAAUAUUUUAAAUUGUAGUUCAAUUCUACUUAUGUCUAUAUCAUCUAUUCAUUCUUUAUUAA
Long non-coding RNA from Quercus robur (English oak), 521 nucleotides. RefSeq lists it as uncharacterized. The transcript is spliced from 2 exons. NCBI's taxonomy places the organism in Eukaryota, Viridiplantae, Streptophyta, Magnoliopsida, Fagales, Fagaceae. The record is from RefSeq and is a predicted model, not a curated record.